GUGCCAGCAGCCGCGGUAAUACAGAGGGUGCAAACGUUGCUCGGAAUUACUGGGCGUAAAGCGCGUGUAGGCGGCUUCAUAAGUCCGACGUGAAAGCCCGGGGCUCAACCCCGGAAGUGCGCUGGAUACUGUGUAGCUAGAGUCCUGAAGAGGAGAGCGGAAUUCCUGGUGUAGAGGUGAAAUUCGUAGAUAUCAGGAGGAACACCUGUGGCGAAGGCGGCUCUCUGGGCAGGUACUGACGCUGAGACGCGAAAGCGUGGGGAGCAAACAGGAUUAGAUACCCUGGUAGUCCACGCUGUAAACGAUGAGAACUAGCCGUUGUGGGUAUUGACCCCCGCAGUGGCGAAGCCAACGCGUUAAGUUCUCCGCCUGGGAAGUACGGCCGCAAGGCUAAA
This 395-nucleotide ribosomal RNA is filed under the name uncultured bacterium. Its description in RNAcentral is "bacterial SSU rRNA". It matches the Rfam family "Bacterial small subunit ribosomal RNA", at positions 505 to 898 of the family's 1533-position model. The record is from RNAcentral.